This 30-nucleotide non-coding RNA is filed under the name Rattus norvegicus (Norway rat). The record is from RNAcentral. Lineage: Eukaryota; Metazoa; Chordata; Mammalia; Rodentia; Muridae.
CCAGUCGUAGAUGCUUUUCUGAGGAUUGGU